GUGCUGUGAGCUCGAUGAGUAGGGCGGGACACGUGGUAUCCUGUCUGAAUAUGGGGGGACCAUCCUCCAAGGCUAAAUACUCCUGACUGACCGAUAGUGAACCAGUACCGUGAGGGAAAGGCGAAAAGAACCCCGGCGAGGGGAGUGAAAAAGAACCUGAAACCGUGUACGUACAAGCAGUGGGAGCCCCACCACUAAGCCAGUGGUGAACUCCACAUACGCAUCCUUUGCUGAGGAUACGGUUAACGGAGCGAAAGCGACGUUCAACCGCAAAAGAAGCAGAGGGGGCUUAGUGGUGGGGUGACUGCGUACCUUUUGUAUAAUGGGUCAGCGACUUAUAUUCUGUAGCAAGGUUAACCGAAUAGGGGAGCCGGAGGGAAACCGAGUCUUAAC
RNAcentral lists this ribosomal RNA (393 nucleotides) under Salmonella enterica. RNAcentral's name for it is "partial 23S ribosomal RNA". It matches the Rfam family "Bacterial large subunit ribosomal RNA", at positions 394 to 688 of the family's 2925-position model. The record is from RNAcentral. Lineage: Bacteria; Pseudomonadati; Pseudomonadota; Gammaproteobacteria; Enterobacterales; Enterobacteriaceae.